AUUUCUUUAGUAUUAACCAGUACAAUUGACUUCCAAUCAAUUAGUUUCGGUACACUCCGAAAAGAAAUA
This 69-nucleotide transfer RNA is filed under the name Crossarchus platycephalus (flat-headed kusimanse). Its description in RNAcentral is "tRNA-Gly". Lineage: Eukaryota; Metazoa; Chordata; Mammalia; Carnivora; Herpestidae. The record is from RNAcentral.